RNAcentral lists this ribosomal RNA (256 nucleotides) under uncultured bacterium. RNAcentral's name for it is "partial 16S ribosomal RNA". It matches the Rfam family "Bacterial small subunit ribosomal RNA", at positions 524 to 776 of the family's 1533-position model. The record is from RNAcentral.
UACAGAGGGUGCAAGCGUUUAAUCGGAAUUACUGGGCGUAAAGUGUGCGCAGGCGGCGUUGCAAGUCGAGUGUGAAAGCCCCGGGCUUAACUUGGGAAUUGCGCUCGAAACUACGAUGCUGGGAGUGUGGCAGAGGAAGGUGGAAUUCCACGUGUAGCGGUGAAAAUGCGUAGAGAUGUGGAGGAACACCGAUGGCGAAGGCAGCCUUCUGGGCCAACACUGACGCUCAUGCACGAAAGCGUGGGGAGCAAACAGG